Molecule: long non-coding RNA, 1270 nt
Organism: Parus major (Great Tit)
Lineage: Eukaryota; Metazoa; Chordata; Aves; Passeriformes; Paridae
Exons: 2
Source: RefSeq, a predicted model, not a curated record
CUCCUGAGAAGUUGGGGAGAGAAGAUGGAGUUUGAUUAUGCCAGGGAUGUCCUGCCACAGAGGCCUGCGGCUGCUUGGCUGGACCUGGUCAGUCCUGCAUUAGUCCCAUCAUCCCUUGAAUGAGUGUGAAGAACAGAACAGAUGGAAAAUGCCAAAGUGACCAAAUCCCUCUAUCUGCAGGUGAGUCAUGUCAUCUGAGAUACCUCUGAAGUGAAGCUGGAAGGGCCUCAGGACUCAGAUGCAAAACAUGACUCAUGUGAUCUUGCACCAAGGAAAAUAGAGAUCACUUAACGGGACUUCCCAGAUUCAGCUUCUGUUUGUCCCUAGUGAGGCAGUUUGCUCUUUGGGACAUGAACAGUAACAAAGACUGGAAGUGAAUUUUACUACCUGUUCUUACUUACAUAAAUCACUUUACAUUCCUAUGAAUGAAGGACCACAUCACUGUAGUAUCUGUGAGGACCAUUUUGCUUGGUCAGAUUAUACUUCAUUUUUAAAGUACUAACUGCAGAUAGAGUUUUCUGGAAGUGUUUUGCACUUCCAAAGUUCUGUUUGACUUUCUCCAAAUACCUUGUAACAAAGGUUUUGACAGACAGAAUGAAUUACAACACUGUCACACACACCUCCAGCCUCUGCCUCUCCUGUUCUCACCAGCCACCUCUGUGGUCUGUCCCUUGCUCUCUACUCCAGCCACAUCCACUUUCUGCUUCUCCAACCCCAGCCUCCACAUCUGACUCCCUGGGAAGCCAGAGCCCACAGUGGAACAUGCAGCUGGUCCAGCGGUGUGGGCCUGCAUGGAGCUGUUUUCCUGGCAGCUCAGAUCCAGUCAAGUGGCCUCAUCUGCCCCAGGCACUCCUCCACACACCGUGAUCUUGGGCAGCUCUGCUGCUGCACAUUGCACCAUCAUAGCCACACAAGUCCAAUAAUAAUGGGCCUAUCUUGUCUUAUACUCUGGAAGGAGUAUGGGCAUAAUGUCUGCAAUAAAUAUCCUGCAACUACUCAUCAGUGGAUUUCAACUCUAUCAUCUAGAUCAUGAGUUAUGCCAUAUGAAGACUGAAGAGACAAAUAGCACAUACUAACACUUGAUUCUAUCUCUGACCUACAAAGAGGAAUAUGCUGAAGAGACAGAUACUCAAGUCCCAAUAGAAAUACCAGAGAUCAACUGAAACAAUUUAACCUGCCUGUUGCUUGUGGAUCAACUGCUUUCUAAGUAACCAAAACUUUAUACAAUGGCAGCAAAAACUGAAAUAAAUUGCUUACUGGGACCUUCUUA